RNAcentral lists this long non-coding RNA (1228 nucleotides) under Bactrocera tryoni. RNAcentral describes it as "uncharacterized LOC120779442, transcript variant X2". Lineage: Eukaryota; Metazoa; Arthropoda; Insecta; Diptera; Tephritidae. The record is from RNAcentral.
UGCGAAGUACGUUCAUUGCCAGUAAAAAAAGAUUCAUCGAUUUUAAUGUCAUAAUGAAUAUAAAGAGGCGUAGAUACUAAAUACGAUAACCACUCUUUAAUAUGGCUCUUAUUUAUAAGCCCGUGGACAUAACUAGUUUUGUGAAUCAACUUCUUUUUCAAAUGCACAUAAAAGCAGUGGUCAUCUUCAAUGUUUCUUGGCAAUUGUUUCACCAUUGUAUUAACUUCAACAGGUACAUUAAUUAUCUGUCCAUAAAUACCAUACUGACCAUUAACGUGUCUCAGUCUACGAAUCUGCAUGAACGGUACUCUCGGGGAAAUCAACCGUUGCUCGAUAAGGUUUAACGUUGGUAAAUGUGAUGGAAUUUUCGGAUAUGCAAAACCAUUGUAGGUUGACAUGAGAGGAAUUUUUUCGUUUUGCAAAGAUGUAUAACACGUAGAGCAGACUUGAACAAUUUCACCAGAAAAUGUAAAGUCAUCUACCGUGGUAAAGUAUAGAGAAGGUGCAGGUUCAAUGGCGGACAUUUGUUACGAAGCAUCUCGACAAGAGAGAAUUUAUAGCUGCAUUGCCGUGCAUAUUACUUGUGGAGACUCCACAUUGCUCAUAGCAGAAAACGAAAGAGGUUAACAAGGAGAAAAAGAAAUCAUUUGGACCAUUGGUAAAAUUCAAAUCUAUAGCGUGCAGCAACCAAAUAAUGGAAAAAUGUAAAGUCAUCUACCGUGGUAAAGUAUAGAGAAGGUGCGGGUUCAAUGGCGGACAUUUGUUACGAGGCAUCUCGACAAGAGAGAAUUUAUAGCUGCAUUGCCGUGCAUAUUGCUUGUGGAGACUCCACAUUGCUCAUAGCAGAAAACGAAAGAGGUUAACAAGGAGAAAAAGAAAUCAUUUGGACCAUUGGUAAAAUUCAAAUCUAUAGCGUGCAGCAACCAAAUAAUGGAGUAUGUUUUAAAUUAUUAAAGUUAAAUAGUGUAUAUUUCAUUCAAAUAUUUGUUAUAGAUUGUGCAUUUUAUUUUGAGUUUGUUAUUAAAUAAAGAGAAAAAAAAUAUUUCGCUCAUGAGUCAUCCUGCAUCCAGACACUACCGCCUUUGUGGUAUGCAACAUUUUUCGUCACCGCAAUGUGUUUUUUACGCCACACAGCGUCACCUGUGUGUGACGUUUUAAGCGUCAGGCAUACUUCCGUUACGAAAUUUCUGCAUUCGGUCCCCUCGCUCAGAAGCUGCGUAAAAAUCUA